GACGUACGCUGGCGGCGUGCUUAACACAUGCAAGUCGAGCGGUAAGGCCCUUUCGGGGGUACACGAGCGGCGAACGGGUGAGUAACACGUGGGUGACCUGCCCUUAGCUCUGGGAUAAGCCUGGGAAACUGGGUCUAAUACCGGAUAUGACUCCAUAACGCAUGUUGUGGGGUGGAAAGCCUUGUGCGGCUAGGGAUGGGCCCGCGGCCUAUCAGCUUGUUGGUGGGGUGAUGGCCUACCAAGGCGACGACGGGUAGCCGGCCUGAGAGGGCGACCGGCCACACUGGGACUGAGACACGGCCCAGACUCCUACGGGAGGCAGCAGUGGGGAAUCUUGCGCAAUGGGCGAAAGCCUGACGCAGCGACGCCGCGUGGGGA
Molecule: ribosomal RNA, 378 nt
Filed under: uncultured bacterium
Lineage: Bacteria
Description: bacterial SSU rRNA
Rfam family: Bacterial small subunit ribosomal RNA
Source: RNAcentral